GUCAAUACUGUCAUUUUUCUGAAUGGUUUGACUGAAUUUAAUUUGUCCCACGCAUUGUUCCCUGAGAAGCUCCGUCAGGAUUUAUUGCUCAUGGUUGAAAGGCCGGCGAUGGAAGGAAUGGGAAGAAAAGUUAAAAGUCAAGAUUUAAAAGGGGAGUCAUCCUCCCCUCCCUUUCCGCACAGCCCAUCUGUGGCAGGUGCAGGACCAGUGUCUGUGAGAGAAUGUCGGCCACAAUGCAGUCAUAACUCAUGGCAAAGCAAAAGAGGAAGAGCUGGAGGAUGAGACAGAGGCGGCAGAGGAAAACGGAGACAGGGGUAUACUGUAUAUACAGGGAGACAAUCAGGAAAAAAAGAAAAAGAGAGAGAAUGUAAGAGAGAGAGUGUGUGUGUGGUGGUGUGUGUGUGUGUGGGGGGGGGGUGAAGGGUGAUGUUUAUGGCACCUGAUGGUGAGAGUAAAUGUUAAGGCUGGUGUCACACUGUCAUUAACGUGCCUGUGAGAUGUCGUCGCCCGGGCAACGGCUUUGCAAGCUUUAAGCUGUAUAAAAUCUGUCCAGCCCUGGAAUGCCAUUGAGACCAGAUAUAUGUGCCGAUCCCAGUUGCCAUGGGGAGCCGGGAUUCUGAGGAAACCUUUCCAUGACUAAGGUUUUUUUUUUUUCUUUAUGGGUCUCUGUCUUCUUUUGGCCUGAAUGAUGUUACUCAUUGGGCAGUGGAUAAUCUCUGCCAUUCCUUCCCUCUCAAAUGAGAACCAUUUCCAGUGGGUGCAUGAUCUGAAGGGAAUCGUGUAUGAAUAUAUAUGUAUAACUGUGCUGGUGGUAAAUCCUGCAGCCCUUUGAGCAAUCCAACUGAAUAUGUGAGUCUCCUGUGAUGUUCACUUGGGGUCAUGCCCUCUUCUGAACUCCAGCACGCCUGCAGAUGUGCAGCGGAUAAUUGCAUCAUUUCCUAUUUUGUCAUCGCUGGUGAGAUGGCCUUUGCCACCAUAUGCACAUGCCUAGAGCUCCUCUUCUCUCCCAGCUGUUUUUGGUGGCAUCCUGUUUGAAGUCUGUUUAACAAGGUUUAUUUGUUAAACACAGGUCACCAAGUUGGCGCAUGAUCAGGGUUGAGAAGGUUACUUUUGAAAUGCAAUAGAUUACAGAU
This is a long non-coding RNA of Clupea harengus (Atlantic herring), 1133 nucleotides long. The record is from Ensembl. NCBI's taxonomy places the organism in Eukaryota, Metazoa, Chordata, Actinopteri, Clupeiformes, Clupeidae.